RNAcentral lists this microRNA precursor (100 nucleotides) under Sus scrofa (pig). Its description in RNAcentral is "mir-658 microRNA precursor family". It matches the Rfam family "mir-658 microRNA precursor family". The record is from Rfam by way of RNAcentral. Lineage: Eukaryota; Metazoa; Chordata; Mammalia; Artiodactyla; Suidae.
GCUCGGUUGCCGUGGUUGCAGACCGGGCCCGCCUGCUAGCCCGCUGACAGCGAGGCUUAGGGCCGAGGGAAGCGGGUCGGUGGGUCCGUCGGGAACUAGG